This 422-nucleotide ribosomal RNA is filed under the name uncultured bacterium. Its description in RNAcentral is "bacterial SSU rRNA". It matches the Rfam family "Bacterial small subunit ribosomal RNA", at positions 355 to 774 of the family's 1533-position model. The record is from RNAcentral.
UGAGGAAUAUUGGGCAAUGCCCGCAAGGGUGACCCAGCAACGCCGCGUGGAGGAUGAAUGUCGUAAGAUUGUAAACUCCUGUUAGAGGUGAAGACUAGUACCGGUUGGACCGGUAUAUGACUGUACCCUCAGAGAAAGCCCCGGCUAACUACGUGCCAGCAGCCGCGGUAAUACGUAGGGGGCAAGCGUUGUCCGGAUUUACUGGGUGUAAAGGGCGCGCAGGCGGGAUAAAAAGUCAGUGGUGAAAUCCUACAGCUUAACUGUAGAACUGCCUUUGAUACUUUUAUUCUUGAGUUCGGGAGAGAGAGACGGAAUUCCAGGGGUAGUGGUGAAAUACGUAGAUAUCUGGAAGAACACCAGUUGCGAAGGCGGUCUCUUGGUCCGACACUGACGCUGAGGCGCGAAAGCGUGGGGAGCAAACA